This 497-nucleotide ribosomal RNA is filed under the name uncultured bacterium. RNAcentral describes it as "partial 16S ribosomal RNA". It matches the Rfam family "Bacterial small subunit ribosomal RNA", at positions 28 to 507 of the family's 1533-position model. The record is from RNAcentral.
GAUGAACGCUGGCGGCGUGCCUAAUACAUGCAAGUCGAACGGACGGACGAUAAGCUUGCUUCCUUGAUGUUAGCGGGUGACGGGCGAGUGAGACGUGGAUAAGCAUCUUAUAUGACUGGGAUCAUUUCGGAAAACCGGAGAUGCUAAUGGAUAAUAUUUUGAACGGCAUGAUUCAAAAGUGAUUGACGGUCUUGCUGUAUCUUAUAGCUGGAUUCGCGUUGGAUUAGUUAGUUGGUAAGGUAACGGCUUACCAAGGCAACGAUCCAUAGCCGACCGGAGAGGGUGAUCGGCCAAACUGGAACUGAGACACGGUCCAGACUCCUACGGGAGGCGGCAGUGGGGAAUCUUGGGCAAUGGGCGAAAGCCUGACGCAGCAACACCGCGUGGGUGAGGAAGGUCUUCGGGUCGUAAAGCCCUUUUGUUGGGAAAGAACAGAUGUAGAAUUAAACGUGCACAUUCUGACGGUACCUAAACAGAAAGCCACGGCUAACUACGUG